Molecule: ribosomal RNA, 467 nt
Filed under: uncultured bacterium
Lineage: Bacteria
Description: partial 16S ribosomal RNA
Rfam family: Bacterial small subunit ribosomal RNA
Source: RNAcentral
GACGAACGCUGGCGGCGUGCUUAACACAUGCAAGUCGAACGGAAAGGCCCUGCUUUUGUGGGGUGCUCGAGUGGCGAACGGGUGAGUAACACGUGAGUAACCUGCCCUUGACUUUGGGAUAACUUCAGGAAACUGGGGCUAAUACCGGAUAGGAGCUCCUGCUGCAUGGUGGGGGUUGGAAAGUUUCGGCGGUUGGGGAUGGACUCGCGGCUUAUCAGCUUGUUGGUGGGGUAGUGGCUUACCAAGGCUUUGACGGGUAGCCGGCCUGAGAGGGUGACCGGCCACAUGGGGACGGGGAUACGGCCCAGACUCCUACGGAGGCAGCAGUGGGGAAUAUUGCACAAUGGGCGGAAGCCUGAUGCAGCAACGCCGCGUGCGGGAUGACGGCCUUCGGGUUGUAAACCGCUUUCGCCUGUGACGAAGCGUGAGUGACGGUAAUGGGUAAAGAAGCACCGGCUAACUACGUG